Molecule: transfer-messenger RNA, 364 nt
Filed under: Burkholderiales
Lineage: Bacteria; Pseudomonadati; Pseudomonadota; Betaproteobacteria
Also listed under: 3 other names
Description: Zwartia parapertussis_B Standard tmRNA
Rfam family: transfer-messenger RNA
About the family: Bacterial tmRNA, also known as 10Sa RNA or SsrA, is named for its dual tRNA and mRNA-like properties. Its role is to liberate the mRNA from a stalled ribosome.
Source: RNAcentral
GGGGCCGAUCCGGAUUCGACGUGGGUCGCGAAACAGUGCAGGGCAUGCCGAGCCCCAGUUCGCUCGUAAAUCCACUGGAAACACUAUAAACGCCAACGACGAGCGUUUCGCUCUGGCCGCUUAAGCGGUAGAGCCGCUGCACUGAUUUGUCUUUGGGUCAGGUAGAGAAAUCUACAGCAGCGUCAUUUACAAAGAAUCGGCGGUUGGCGGGUCACUCGUCAACUUCUUAAAUCCAAGUGAAUCGCCAAGGUCCGGCCUGUCGUUUGGCAAAGUCCAAGGUUAAAUUCAAAAUGAAACGACUACGCAUGUAGAACUGCCUGCAGAGGGCUCGCGGACGGGGGUUCAAUUCCCCCCGGCUCCACCA